RNAcentral lists this long non-coding RNA (1175 nucleotides) under Gallus gallus (chicken). RNAcentral describes it as "lncRNA (ENSGALG00010004616.1)". The record is from RNAcentral. Lineage: Eukaryota; Metazoa; Chordata; Aves; Galliformes; Phasianidae.
CACAGUUUGCUCCACAUUUCAGUGGCAGCUCUGAUGCAAUGCAAAGGUCAGAGGGCAAGACACACAUUGUAUGCAAACAGGAAAAUAAUUUCUUCUGGGAUCUGCUAAUAUACGGACAAAGGAGAGAAGCAUGUCAUCUGCUGUACAAGCCAAGGCAAACCCAGCUUCGUUCCAUGCAUCAGAGGGUUGAAUCAGAAAGAAAAGGAUUAAAGUUGCUCAAGGAGAGAGAAAAAGAAAGAACAAACUGCCUGAAAUCCAGCACUAUUCAUGUAUGCAGCAUGGAUUGUUUUAAAAUGCUGUUUUUCUUCAAACAUCACUUUCAUAAGGCCAAUUCUAAAUGGAUUGAGAUGACACUAAGAGGUUUGGCAUCAGAGCAUAAAACUGGAAGAGAUUUCCUGGGCUGUUGUGUUCCAUGUCCUAGUCAGUUAUAUCAAAGAGUAACCCUUUCACAUCCAUCUUGAAACCAGUGCAACAGGAGAUGCCUAUGAGAGAACGCUCAAGUCACUGGAAUGGACAGCAGUCACCAUUUUCUUGGUUAGGAAAGGGAAGCUUUAAGGAAGUUUGGGAAAAGCAGAAGGAAAAAAAAAAAACAACAAAACAUGUAUACAAUACAGUAAUUUGCAAUGGAACAAAAAGUGUCAGUCUGGUUGUUAUUUCCGGGAAAUAAAUUUUUGGCUUAGUGGCAAGGCCACUAGGAAAUCCCAUAGAAGUGUUAGACCAUGAACAUAUUUGGUAACUGUUCUUGAAAGGAAACCCUAAAGGCAAACAACUUGUUUUGUGAAUACCCUAUGAAAUUGGAGAGAACCUCAAAUAGCCCCUGCAGUUCCGGAAAUAUUGGAGGAUACAGAUGUUGCGUGAAUAAAUUGGUUGAGUGCCUGGAAGGAGAAUGAUCCUGAUUCUUGAAUGAGACAAUCCACUUGAUAGAAAAAUAAAUAAUUGUGAGGAAGAAUGUUAAGAAAGUAUGUCUGCUUUCAUACUGAGGCCAGGAAAGACUUUCUUGUGUGUGUGUUUACGUCUUACUUUAAAGGAUUCCAUUCUCAUGUGUUGAUGUUAAAAUCAAGUACCAGACAAACCAAUGGCAAUUGAAAAAUAAUUUGAGAUAAUCAAACUCAUAAUCUUGAAACCAUAUCAUCAUGUGAUUCUUUUCUCAGAAGAAAGGAGGGCUUUUUUUAGGA